RNAcentral lists this non-coding RNA (178 nucleotides) under Ghiorsea sp. RNAcentral's name for it is "6S RNA". It matches the Rfam family "6S / SsrS RNA". From Rfam's summary of the family: E. coli 6S RNA was the first non coding RNA to be sequenced, but its function was unknown until recently. It consists of 184 nucleotides that fold into an extended hairpin structure with a large single-stranded internal bulge. RNAcentral also lists the same sequence under 1 other name. Lineage: Bacteria; Pseudomonadati; Pseudomonadota; Candidatius Mariprofundia; Mariprofundales. The record is from RNAcentral.
GUGUCCCUGCGCUGAUCGAGUCACAACAUAGUUGCCUGAGCCUAUGUGUUUCGAUUGGGAGAUUGCUAUUGUUGUUGUGUGCGUCAUUCCUUGCGAAAGAACCUGAUGCAACAAUGCUUCGCCCCCCUCACUUUGAGGGUUCGACAACUUCCUGAUGAUACGACAGUGCGGGGAUGCU